Molecule: ribosomal RNA, 260 nt
Filed under: uncultured bacterium
Lineage: Bacteria
Description: partial small subunit ribosomal RNA
Rfam family: Bacterial small subunit ribosomal RNA
Source: RNAcentral
AGAAUCAACGCUGGCGGCGUGCCUAACACAUGCAAGUCGAACGAGAAAGUGGAGCAAUCCAUGAGUAAAGUGGCGACCGGGUGAGUAACACGUGACUAACCUACCUUCGAGUGGGGGAUAACCUCGGGAAACCGGGGCUAAUACCGCAUAACAUCUUUGAAGUGGAAAUUUCGGAGAUCAAAGGAGCAAUUCGCUGGAAGAGGGGGUCGCGGCUGAUUAGCUAGUUGGCGGGGUAACGCCCACCAAGGCUUAGAUCGGUA